CUCCCUCCAAAUUGUUUUUCAUUUCCCUCCUUAGUAUUCAUAGUUAAUUAGUCAUUCUUUUAUUCCUUUUUCAUCCAGGACAUAGAGGAAUGAACAAUGAAUCUCCACUGAAACCCUAGCGCCCAAAAUUCAUCUCUAUAUUUCCUGUACGAUCGAUUAGUCUGAUAUUUCAUGUUCUUCCUCUUUUGAUUACUACUCGACAAUGUCAACAGUGUCGUUGACAGAUGCAAAAAUAGGUACUGCGCUUCUUCUUCGUCGUCAACACUCGUCCGAGUAUAGGAACCGCUAAGAAGCUAUUUUUCUGAAAUUUAAGAAGCCAAGAGGCCUCUGAGCUCAAGGUCUGUUAUUAUCUCUAUUUGUUUUUUUAAUUGUUUAAUCUCUUUGUUUUAUGUAUUCUAAUAAAUUGUAAAUAUCUGUUAGAGAUUGUUUUCAAACAAUAUUCUACAUCAGGUGCUUUAUGGAUUAUUAUUGAUUUUCUGGAGAAUUUAUUUUUAUUUGAUUUUAUAGUCAUUUUCUUUAGGUUGUUGAACUCUUUACCUCAAUAGAAUGAAAUUUAAUCUAUACAUACGGUAGAUCUGAAAAGAAUAAACAAAUCUUGAGAAGUUAUAGCUAAAAGAAGUAUUAAGAAUGAAAACUUUAAAUUAGUGAUAGUAAAGAACUAUAGCUAUGUAGUUGCUCUGAAUAGUUUUAGUUUUUUGAUUGUUUCUAACUAAAUAUGGAGAUAAAGGAAAAUAGUGCAGAUAAAUAAAUAAUUCUUUUUAAAUACCAAACAAAUUACUCUAGCCAUGUGAAUCGCACAACAUGUUUUAAUUUUCUCUAGUGAUGACUUAUCUGUUUAAAUUACUCUUAUCAAACGAGGGGUUAUUGGAUAGUCAUAUGAAUGCUUCAUAUUGAGGGAUAAAGAGGCGGAAAGUCGGAUAGUUUCAUAUGAAUGCUUCAUAUUGGGGGAUAAAGAGGUUGAAAGUUAAAAAUAUGCCAUAUUUUUAUUUAUGGGUUGUCAAUAGGUGAGGUGAUGUCUGGUAAGAAUUUUCAUCCUAACUUUCCAAUUUAUGUGCCCUGCAUUACAUGUGUCGCAUACAAUUGAUGAAAUAUUUAAGUAAAAUUUCCAAUUUGAAUGUAUUACCUAAAGCAAUUCUUAUGAGGAAAUGUUGCUCAUCCAUGGUGUUGCUGCUGCAGUUGUCGGAUAAGUUUUUGCUAUUGAUGACAACAUAGUUCAUCUUUAAAUGGGACAUAGCUUUCACAUCUUUUAAUGACUUAGCUGCUGCUACCCUGUUAUUUUGCCAGCUUCUUAGGGAACCUUUUACAUCUUCAGACAUCACCAAAUGCACACCAAAAGUAUUCAAGAAGAGUGCCUAAUAUGUUAUAUUUAUUUUUAAUGUAGAAAAAGAUGGAUUCCACAGAGCUAUUCACAGGAGAAACAUCUGCUACAAAUCCAAAAGCCCCUUCUAUGUAAGUUUUUCUGUAAAAUUAUGAUAUUUUAUUGUUCUAUUAUAAAAGCAUUAUUUUAGAAGGCUCAUUUUGGUGUUUAGGUGGAAUUCCAUUGUGUAUUUAUAUUUUCUUCUGAGACCAUUCAUUAUUAUAUGGGACUUGAAAGAAAUUAAAAAUGACUGGGACUACAUCUCAUAUUGUCUCAUUAUAAUAUAAGAUUAUAAGUUGGCAACACCGUAAAGUUUGAGGAAGCCAUCUUUCUGCCACAAGUAUAAGAUUAUAAGUUGGCUACACAGUAACUCCCUUGCCACCAUUGUCUACCAUAUUUUUAAGAAAACCCAUUUUUAAAACUUCUUUUAAGAUUUAGAUACCAUUGAAAAUUCUAAUUGUGAACGACCUACGAGACAGAGCAGUCAUGAGCCAUACAGUGACAUUACAUGACUACAUUCAAUAGCACAAUAGGAAUUAUUUGGCCUUGAAUCAAUUAUCUGAAUAUUCUACUUAAGUAUGUGUUGCUUACAAGUAACAAGUUGCCUCAGUGUGGCAUCUGAUCCAUUGCAGCUGCAAUAGUUUGGUCUGCUUUUAGGCAUAGAAAGUCCAUGAACUUGUGUAGAUUGGUAUUUAACAUAUAGUUGCUUUGCAGCUGUGAUAACUUAUCUUUCCACUUCCCGGAUUGUUGGUCUGAUGGUGUUGUGCAUUAGGCAGUUACUUAAUAUAUUGAAAGUCUCUACGGACUCAUUUGUUUAAUCUGUCUUUGAAGAGAUGCAGUUCAUGAGUUUCAUCAAAGCAAUAGAUUUUCUGCAGUUCUCACCUUUUAAUUCUAUCUAUAUAUGUAACCUAAUUUUACAGUGUUUGAAUUCAUACAACCAUUAGCUUGAAUUGAGUUUUGUCAACUUUGUUUUGCUUUGUGUAUUUUUGACAAAUAAAAUAUCCAGUCCCAUAUCAUCUCUCAUAUUGAUGUUCUUGUUAUUUUGUUAUUCCAUUUUUUCAUUUCUUAAUUUCUUUCUAAUACAUGUCAUUACAUGAGGGGCUCAAGAAUUCAACAGUGUCAUUAACGUUCAGCCCAAAA
RNAcentral lists this long non-coding RNA (2497 nucleotides) under Nicotiana tabacum (common tobacco). RNAcentral describes it as "long non-coding RNA (NTAB_LNC015576)". The record is from RNAcentral. Lineage: Eukaryota; Viridiplantae; Streptophyta; Magnoliopsida; Solanales; Solanaceae.